Molecule: non-coding RNA, 383 nt
Filed under: Pan troglodytes (chimpanzee)
Lineage: Eukaryota; Metazoa; Chordata; Mammalia; Primates; Hominidae
Source: RNAcentral
GCCCUUUUUUACAGCUUGAAAAUGAUUGUUAAAAACAACAACUGAAAAUCAAACAACUGAAAACAUGAGCCAAAUCUAUUAGCACUGAACUCCUCCAACAGCACUGAUGUCACAGGCCUCUGGAAGAAUCCACAUUGUUGACAUUACUCUGGUCAAGAUGGGGUUUGACCUUGUUGUCCAGGCUGGUUUCAAACUCCUGAGUUCAAGCAAUCUACCCACCCUUCAAAGUGUUGGGAUCACAGGUGACUCUUAGAAUCAUCUAGUCAAAAUGGAAUUGUGACUGUAAGUGCACUAAGAAAAGAUACCUUUGGGAAGAAUGAACAUAUUUUGACAAAUAUGUUCAAUAUUUUUACAUAUUAAAAUAUUGACUCUCACCCAUGAAA